This is a long non-coding RNA of Nerophis lumbriciformis (worm pipefish), 1304 nucleotides long. RefSeq lists it as uncharacterized. Lineage: Eukaryota; Metazoa; Chordata; Actinopteri; Syngnathiformes; Syngnathidae. The record is from RefSeq and is a predicted model, not a curated record.
GUCUUCUUGCCUAUGCUUAGCUUCGAGUGCGAUCGGCACAUUUUUCCUCCGGCUCGUUUUCAGUUUUUGGUACUUGUUUGACUUUUUGAGGAUAAAUUAUGUUCCUACCUGCACGUCCUGUCCGAAGUGGCAUCCCGGGGGAACGAACCUCGCAGCAAGCUGCGACCAUUAAUGCUGAAAGUGUUUCACGGGCUGUUUGGAGGUAGAGCCGGUGUGACGUGAAGCAGUGCUGGCCAUGCAGAUGUUCCAUUGCAACAUCAGGAAGAAGCAUGUUGACAAAGAAGGAUAAAAUGUGCCGGGGAGAGUGGAGAGUGGCGACUCUGGACCAUGCAUACCAACUGGAGGGUCCGUGGCAGCCACUUCUCUGGGUGUGAUUUCCAAACCUCAAGGCAUGCUGGGUAUGCAGCGCUGAACACUCUGAAGCUGUGUGAGACUCUGCAGCUGUCCAUUUUCCCACAAUCCUUUAGCACCGCCAUUCCGGGAUAUUAUCAUUAUAACUAGUGUCAUAUCUUUCAUUAUAAUGCAAAGUAGAAGGCAUCGCAAUAGUCUGUUGUCCAAAAUACUUGUGUGUACGUAGCUUUAAUGCUAAUGAGUUGCCUUUCUGGAAGAGCUGCUGUUGUGCAAUCAAUACACUUUUUACAUGAUCCUCAUGGGAUUUUUUUCCUCUGCUUUACAUGCAAAUACAGUAAAUACAUUUCCGCAAAGUACGAAAUAUUACAAUUAAUUAUUACAAUAUAUUUGAUAAAUUUGCAUAGCUCGAGUAGUGUUGUCUCGAUACCAAUAUUUUGGUAAUUGUACCGGUACCAAAAUGUAUUUCGAUACUUUUCGUUACCGGUACUUUUCGAUACUUUUCUAAAUAAAGGGGACCACAAAAAAUGACAUUAAUGGCUUUAUUUUAAUAAAAAAUCUUAAGGUACAUUCAACGUAUGUUUUCUUAUUGCAAGUUUGUCCUUAAAUAAAAUUGUGAACAUACAAGACAACUUGUCUUUUAGUAGUAAGUAAGCAAACAAAGGCUCCUAAUUUAGCUGCUGACAUAUGCAGUAACAUAUUGUGUCAUUUUGCAUUCUAUUAUUUUGUCAAAAUUAUUAAGAACAAGUGGUAGAAAAUGAAUUAUUAAUCCACUUGUUCAUUUACUGUUAAUAUCUGCUUACUUUCCCUUUUAACAUGUUCUAUCUACACUUCUGUUAAAAUGUAAUAAUCACUUAUUCUUCUGUUGGUUGGAUACUUGACAUUAGUUUUGGAUGAUACCACAAAUGUGGGUAUCAAUCCAAUACAAAGUAGUUACAGGAUCAUACUUUGGUCAU